This 497-nucleotide ribosomal RNA is filed under the name uncultured bacterium. RNAcentral's name for it is "partial 16S ribosomal RNA". It matches the Rfam family "Bacterial small subunit ribosomal RNA", at positions 28 to 507 of the family's 1533-position model. The record is from RNAcentral.
GAUGAACGCUGGCGGCGUGCCUAAUACAUGCAAGUCGAGCGAACAGACGAGGAGCUUGCUCCUCUGACGUUAGCGGCGGACGGGUGAGUAACACGUGGAUAACCUACCUAUAAGACUGGGAUAACUUCGGGAAACCGGAGCUAAUACCGGAUAAUAUGUUGAACCGCAUGGUUCAACAGUGAAAGACGGUCUUGCUGUCACUUAUAGAUGGAUCCGCGCCGCAUUAGCUAGUUGGUAAGGUAACGGCUUACCAAGGCGACGAUGCGUAGCCGACCUGAGAGGGUGAUCGGCCACACUGGAACUGAGACACGGUCCAGACUCCUACGGGAGGCAGCAGUAGGGAAUCUUCCGCAAUGGGCGAAAUCCUGACGGAGCAACGCCGCGUGAGUGAAGAAGGUCUUCGGAUCGUAAAACUCUGUUAUUAGGGAAGAACAAAUGUGUAAGUAACUAUGCACGUCUUGACGGUACCUAAUCAGAAAGCCACGGCUAACUACGUG